AGUGAACGCUGGCGGCAGGCCUAACACAUGCAAGUCGAGCGGCAGCGCGGGGGCAACCCUGGCGGCGAGCGGCGGACGGGUGAGGAAUUCGUCGGAAUCUGCCUUUUUGUGGGGGAUAACGUAGUGAAACUUACGCUAAUACCGCAUACGUCCUACGGGAGAAAGUGGGGGACCGCAAGGCCUCACGCAGAGAGAUGAGCCGACGACCGAUUAGCUAGUUGGUGGGGUAAAGGCCCACCAAGGCGACGAUCGGUAGCUGGUCUGAGAGGAUGAUCAGCCACAUUGGGACUGAGACACGGCCCAGACUCCUGCGGGAGGCCGCAGUGGGGAAUAUUGGACAAUGGGCGCAAGCCUGAUCCAGCGAUGCCGAGUGUGUGAAGAAGGCCUUCGGGUUGUAAAGCACUUUUGUCCGGAAAGAAAUCCCUGGAGCUAAUACCUUCGGGGGAUGACGGUACCGGAAGAAUAAGCACCGGCUAACUUCGUG
This 484-nucleotide ribosomal RNA is filed under the name uncultured bacterium. Its description in RNAcentral is "partial 16S ribosomal RNA". It matches the Rfam family "Bacterial small subunit ribosomal RNA", at positions 30 to 507 of the family's 1533-position model. The record is from RNAcentral.